Fukomys damarensis (Damara mole-rat) is the source of this 837-nucleotide long non-coding RNA. RefSeq lists it as uncharacterized. The transcript is spliced from 3 exons. NCBI's taxonomy places the organism in Eukaryota, Metazoa, Chordata, Mammalia, Rodentia, Bathyergidae. The record is from RefSeq and is a predicted model, not a curated record.
AGUUCACAUUUCUGAUCAUCUUGUGAGGUGGACGUAUCCCUGCAACCUGAGCUCUCUGAACUAAAGCUCCCACAUGGGCUCUGUACAGCAAAUGGAUAUGACUAAGGUUAAAUCUCAGGACUCCUCAGUCUACCUCAAGCCAUUCCUGAUUUACCUGGGGACGGUGGCACACGAAUGCUGUCUGUUCACCCUGUCUCACUCUGGAGCCCUUCCUGCGCACACAGUAUAACACCUCUUUGUCUGUUCACCAUCGGAAUGUUCAGCUGUCUUCAACACCUCAGGGAAACGAGAGGCUGGGUUGUGGAGGUGUGAAAGUCACUUUCUCUCGUCCCCAACAUGCGUUUGCACGGCGAUGGAACACCAGGAAGUCAGCUUCCAGUGCCACUCGCCCUCGCUCUGAUAGAGCUGGCAGUACAGGCCUCAGAGAUGUCUCAGUCAAGGACAAGUGCCACUGAGAACAGCAGCCACCACAGACACAACAAUGAAACCACCCGCCAUCAGGCACCAGCCAGGAAGAGAGAAAUGGAGAGUUUGUAAAGCAAUGAUGUUUACAGCUCACUUCCUGUGAAAUAAAGUUCUGCGAAAUGGUCACCUUGUUUGCUCUUUAUGGGGAACAGAAAAAGAAAAAUACGAGAAAAGCAACAGCAGCAGAGGAACUUCUGAAGAUCUUUCUGCUUCUGAGGUGACCUUGGUAAGACAAACCGUGAAGUACAGGGAAACAUAUUUCCUACUGGAAGUGGUAGCUGGACUGGCCUUGGCCCAAGGAACUUCUGAAUGGGUUUGGCAUUACAACUAUGAGUUGAAAUCAUUUGAGCAGAUACUUUUUCUCUUUUUUCA